This 465-nucleotide ribosomal RNA is filed under the name uncultured bacterium. Its description in RNAcentral is "partial 16S ribosomal RNA". It matches the Rfam family "Bacterial small subunit ribosomal RNA", at positions 338 to 795 of the family's 1533-position model. The record is from RNAcentral.
CCUACGGGUGGCAGCAGUAGGGAAUCUUCCACAAUGGGCGCAAGCCUGAUGGAGCAACGCCGCGUGGGUGAAGAAGGUCUUCGGAUCGUAAAACCCUGUUGUUAGAGAAGAAAGUGCGUGAGAGUAACUGUUCACUUCUCGACGUUAUCUAACCAGAAAGCCCCGGCUAACUACGUGCCAGCAGCCGCGGUAAUACGUAGGUGGCAAGCGUUAUCCGGAUUUAUUGGGCGUAAAGGGAACGCAGGCGGUCUUUUAAGUCUGAUGUGAAAGCCUUGGGCUUAACCGGAGUAGUGCAUUGGAAACUGGGAGACGUGAGUGCAGAAGAGGAGAGUGGAACUCCAUGUGUAGCGGUGAAAUGCGUAGAUAUAUGGAAGAACACCAGUGGCGAAAGCGGCUCUCUGGACUGUAACUGACGGUGAGGUUCGAAAGCGUGGGUAGCAAACAGGAUUAGAUACCCUGGUAGUC